RNAcentral lists this ribosomal RNA (468 nucleotides) under uncultured bacterium. RNAcentral describes it as "partial 16S ribosomal RNA". It matches the Rfam family "Bacterial small subunit ribosomal RNA", at positions 28 to 507 of the family's 1533-position model. The record is from RNAcentral.
GACGAACGCUGGCGGCGUGCUUAACACAUGCAAGUCGAACGGAAAGGCCCUGCUUUUGUGGGGUGCUCGAGUGGCGAACGGGUGAGUAACACGUGAGUAACCUGCCCUUGACUUUGUGAUAACUUCAGGAAACUGGGGCUAAUACCGGAUAUGAUCUCCUGCUGCAUGGUGGGGGUUGGAAAGUUUCGGCGGUUGGGGAUGGACUCGCGGCUUAUCAGCUUGUUGGUGGGGUAGUGGCGUACCAAGGCUUUGAAGGGUAGCCGGCCUGAGAGGGUGACCGGCCACAUUGGGACUGAGAUACGGACCAGACUCCUACGGGAGGCAGCAGUGGGGAAUAUUGCACAAUGGGCGGAAGUCUGAUGCAGCAACGCCGCGUGCGGGAUGACGGCCUUCGGGUUGUAAACCGCUUUCGCCUGUGACGAAGCGUGAGUGACGGUAAUGGGUAAAGAAGCAACGGCUAACUACGUG